RNAcentral lists this ribosomal RNA (865 nucleotides) under uncultured bacterium. RNAcentral describes it as "bacterial SSU rRNA". It matches the Rfam family "Bacterial small subunit ribosomal RNA", at positions 52 to 925 of the family's 1533-position model. The record is from RNAcentral.
CACAUGCAGGUCGAGCGGAGACAGUGAGUAGCUUGCUAUGAGCUGUUUUAGCGGCGGACGGGUGAGUAACGCGUGAGCAACCUUUCCCAGACAGGGGAAUAACACACCGAAAGGUGUACUAAUACCGCAUAAAACCACGGGAUCACAUGGUUCUGGGGUAAAAGAUUUAUCGGUUUGGGGUGGGCUCGCGUCCGAUUAGGUAGUUGGUGAGGUAACGGCCCACCAAGCCGACGAUCGGUAGCCGACCUGAGAGGGUGAUCGGCCACAUUGGGACUGAGACACGGCCCAAACUCCUACGGGAGGCAGCAGUGGGGAAUAUUGGGCAAUGGGGGGAACCCUGACCCAGCAACGCCGCGUGGAGGAAGAAGGUUUUCGGAUCGUAAACUCCUGUCCUUGGAGACGAGUAGAAGACGGUAUCCAAGGAGGAAGCCCCGGCUAACUACGUGCCAGCAGCCGCGGUAAUACGUAGGGGGCAAGCGUUGUCCGGAAUAAUUGGGCGUAAAGGGCGCGUAGGCGGCUCGGUAAGUCUGGAGUGAAAGUCCUGCUUUUAAGGUGGGAAUUGCUUUGGAUACUGUCGGGCUUGAGUGCAGGAGAGGUUAGUGGAAUUCCCAGUGUAGCGGUGAAAUGCGUAGAGAUUGGGAGGAACACCAGUGGCGAAGGCGACUAACUGGACUGUAACUGACGCUGAGGCGCGAAAGUGUGGGGAGCAAACAGGGUUAGAUACCCUGGUAGUCCACACUGUAAACGAUGAAUGCUAGGUGUAGGGGGUAUCGACCCCUUCUGUGCCGCAGUCAACACAAUAAGCAUUCCGCCUGGGGAGUACGGCCGCAAGGUUGAAACUCAAAGGAAUUGACGGGGGCCCGCA